CCUACGGGGGGCUGCAGUGGGGAAUAUUGCGCAAUGGGGGAAACCCUGACGCAGCGACGCCGCGUGAGCGAAGAAGGCCUUAGGGUUGUAAAGCUCUGUUUUAGGGGACGAAUGUCGUGGGGAGUAAUAUGACCUACGAAUGACGGUACCCUAAGAGGAAGCCCCGGCUAACUACGUGCCAGCAGCCGCGGUAAGACGUAGGGGGCGAGCGUUGUCCGGAAUUACUGGGCGUAAAGAGCACGUAGGCGGGAACCUAAGUCAGGUGUGAAAGACCGUGGCUCAACCACGGGGUGGCAUUUGAAACUGGGUUUCUUGAGGGCAGGAGAGGAAAGCAGAAUUCCUGGUGUAGCGGUGAAAUGCGUAGAAAUCAGGAGGAAUACCAGUGGCGAAGGCGGCUUUCUGGACUGACCCUGACGCUGAGGUGCGAAAGCGUGGGUAGCAAACAGGAUUAGAUACCCUAGUAGUC
Molecule: ribosomal RNA, 466 nt
Filed under: uncultured Syntrophomonas sp.
Lineage: Bacteria; Bacillati; Bacillota; Clostridia; Eubacteriales; Syntrophomonadaceae
Description: bacterial SSU rRNA
Rfam family: Bacterial small subunit ribosomal RNA
Source: RNAcentral